GGGUUUACACAAACGGUGGAUUAUGUGGUUUAAUGCGAUAAUACGCGCGAAAUCUUACCAAUUCUUGCAUAUAAUUAAAUUUUUUUGGCAAAUUAUUUUAAGUAAUUUUUUUAUACAGGUGCUGCAUGGCUGUUUUCAGCUCGUGUCGUGAGAUGUCGGGUUUAGUCCUGGAACGAGCGUAACUCUUUUUCUAUAUUGGUAAUUUUUUUUUAAGAAAAACAACUUAUAGCAAACCGCUGUUUAUAAAACAGAGUAAGAAGAACGACAACAAGUCUUUAUGGCCCUUAUGGAUUGGGCUACACAUGUGAUACACUGAUAAAAACAAAAAGUAAUGCAAUAGAGUAAUUUAAAGCAAAUCUUAAAAAUUUAUCUUGUUCGGAUUGUAGACUGUAACUCGUCUACAUAAAGUUGGAAUCGUUAGUAAUCGCGUAUCAUCACGCUGCGGUGAAUAAUUUUACCUAAAUCUU
This 467-nucleotide ribosomal RNA is filed under the name uncultured bacterium. Its description in RNAcentral is "partial 16S ribosomal RNA". It matches the Rfam family "Bacterial small subunit ribosomal RNA", at positions 917 to 1382 of the family's 1533-position model. The record is from RNAcentral.